UACAGAGGAUGCAAGCGUUAUCCGGAAUGAUUGGGCGUAAAGCGUCUGUAGGUGGCUUUUUAAGUCCGCCGUCAAAUCCCAGGGCUCAACUCUGGACAGGCGGUGGAAACUACCAAGCUGGAGACCGGUAGAGGCUGGUAGGAUUGCAGGUGUAGCGGUGGAAUGCGUAGAGAUCUGCAAGAAUACCCGUGGCGAAGGCGGCCAGCUGGGCCGGUUCUGACGCUGAGGCGCGAAAGCGUGGGGAGCAAACAGG
RNAcentral lists this ribosomal RNA (253 nucleotides) under uncultured bacterium. RNAcentral describes it as "partial 16S ribosomal RNA". It matches the Rfam family "Bacterial small subunit ribosomal RNA", at positions 524 to 776 of the family's 1533-position model. The record is from RNAcentral.